AACAGUCAACUCAUAUGUAACAAAUAGGAUUCAGAAAAAUAAUCCAUUUGUCGGUUAGGUUCCUCAUUUGCCGAAAUGCCUGCGGAACAUCGUCCUCAAAUCAACUGCUGAGCUGAGCUGGGAGACUGGGUGGAGAGUUUUACACGAAACUGUUUUUCGCUUUAACCAAAUUCCCUUUGUUGUCUUUCCUCUCUCUGUUCUUUCCUCAACUGGAACUUCACUGACAAAGUUUGGAUUGCCUCCUUCCACCAUCUGCACAAAACAGUCUUCCAGGGCAUGAAAUCUGUGUCCAAAUUGUUUGGUUGCGUGAGUGAAAAAUUUAUGUGAUUAAAGAUUCAGUGUUCUACCAAUUUCCUGAAAUCUGCAAUGUACAUUUAAAGAAACAGUAGUCAGUUUAGCAUGUGAUGUACACUGAAAAAUGCCCAAAAUAUGGAGCGGGGAGCUAGUCUACCUUGCUGGCAGCAAG
This 466-nucleotide long non-coding RNA is filed under the name Triticum aestivum (bread wheat). RNAcentral describes it as "long non-coding RNA (TAES_LNC011114)". Lineage: Eukaryota; Viridiplantae; Streptophyta; Magnoliopsida; Poales; Poaceae. The record is from RNAcentral.